AAAGUCUUCACUCCAUCAUUUAGAAUUAUAAUUAAAUCAUAUACAGAUAUGAGGGUUUUUACCUUUAUAAUUUCUUCUCUCUUAUUUACUUUCCUUUUGCUCCCUACUUCAACUGAACAAACGCAACUUUUUGACUAUGGGCGCAGAGCCGGCAUUCCUCGAGGAGGUGGUGGUGAAGAUCUGGGCGAGAUAUCUUCAGAAAAAGCAUUAGAUAAAAUGCUUAGUCAAUUACCAUUUGAAUAUGGGCACAUAGCCGGCAUUCGUCAGGGAGGUGGCGAUGGAGAUCCGAGCGAGAUACCUUCAGAAAAAGCAUUAGAUAAAAUGCUAAGUCAAUUGCCAUUUGAAUAUGGGCGCAUAGCUGGCAUUCUUCGAGGAGGUGGCGGUGGAGAUCUAGGCGAGAUAUCUUCAGAAAAAGCAUUAAAUAAAAUGCUAAGUCAAUCUCCAUUUGAUUAUGGGCGCAAAGCCGACAUUCGUAAGGGAGGUGGUGGUGGAGAUCUGGGCGAGAUAUCUUCAGAAAAAGCAUUAGAUAAAAUGCUUAGUCAAUUGCCAUUUGAAUAUGGGCGUUACACUUAGUAGAUACUACAUCAUCAGUUUCCAUCUCAUAUGGAAAAAAAUAAAAUAAAUAAAAAUAUGUGUCUUGUAUUUCUGUAAUCCUAUUUCCUUGCACAACGGAUUAUAGAAAUUAUUAUGUGUACUUCAAAUACAUGCAUAUGGACUUUCUCUACUGAUAAUAUGAAUAAUGUAUUUUAUAAUUUAAUAUGGGUAAUUUUCACUCAUAGUCACCUGCCUUUGAAC
RNAcentral lists this long non-coding RNA (795 nucleotides) under Manihot esculenta (cassava). Its description in RNAcentral is "long non-coding RNA (MESC_LNC002407)". Lineage: Eukaryota; Viridiplantae; Streptophyta; Magnoliopsida; Malpighiales; Euphorbiaceae. The record is from RNAcentral.